CCUACGGGAGGCAGCAGUAGGGAAUAUUGGGCAAUGGGCGAAAGCCUGACCCAGCGACGCCGCGUGAGGGAUGAAGGUCUUCGGAUUGUAAACCUCUUUCAGUAGGGAAGAAGCGAAAGUGACGGUACCUAAAGAAGAAGCACCGGCUAACUAUGUGCCAGCAGCCGCGGUAAUACAUAGGGUGCAAGCGUUGUCCGGAAUUAUUGGGCGUAAAGAGCUCGUAGGUCGUUUGUCGCGUCGAUUGUGAAAAUCUGAGGCUCAACCUCAGACCUGCAGUCGAUACGGGCAAACUAGAGUGUGGUAGGGGAGACUGGAAUUCCUGGUGUAGCGGUGGAAUGCGCAGAUAUCAGGAGGAACACCAAUGGCGAAGGCAGGUCUCUGGGCCAAUACUGACACUGAGGAGCGAAAGUCUGGGGAGCGAACAGGAUUAGAUACCCUGGUAGUCCGGACCGUAAACGGUGGGCACUAGUUGUGGGAACCUUCCACGGUUUCUGCGACGCAGCUAACGCAUUAAGUGCCCCGCCUGGGGAGUACGAUCGCAAGAUUAAAACUCAAAGGAAUUGACGG
This 567-nucleotide ribosomal RNA is filed under the name uncultured bacterium. Its description in RNAcentral is "bacterial SSU rRNA". It matches the Rfam family "Bacterial small subunit ribosomal RNA", at positions 338 to 916 of the family's 1533-position model. The record is from RNAcentral.